AAUUUUGGACAUUGGGGGAAACCCUGAUCCAGCCAUCCCGCGUGUGCGCUGAAGGCCUUCGGGUUGUAAAUCACUUGUGUUAGGGAAAAAAAGGUUCUGGCUAAACCCCGAAACUGAUGACGGUACCUGAAGAAUAAGCACCGGCGAACUACGUACCAUCAGCCGCGGUAAUACGUAGGGUCCAAGCGGUAAUCGGAAUUACCGGGCCUAAAGCGUGCGCAGGCGGUUCGGAAAGAAGGAUGUGAAAUCCCAGGGCUCAACCUUGGAACUGCAUUCUUAACUACCGAACUAGAGUAUGUCAGAGGGGGGUAGAAUUCCGCGUGUAGCAGUGAAAUGCGUAGAUAUGCGGAGGAAUACCGAUGGCGAAGGCAGCCCCCUGGGAUAAUACUGACGCUCAUGCACGAAAGCGUGGGUAGCAAACAGG
Molecule: ribosomal RNA, 424 nt
Filed under: uncultured bacterium
Lineage: Bacteria
Description: partial 16S ribosomal RNA
Rfam family: Bacterial small subunit ribosomal RNA
Source: RNAcentral